GACUUAUCAAACCACCUCGUCUGCUUGGUGGCUUUGGAUGUGGGGGUCUUUGCAGGCUUUGAACAAAGGUCGGCUCCCCUGAAACGCAUUAGUGGCAUCUGAGCUGCUACUAUAGGUGUGAUAAAUUAUCUAUGCCUUUGGUACGCCGCAUGAACGGAUCGCGCUGCUCACAACGAAAAAAGAACUUUGACAA
RNAcentral lists this unclassified non-coding RNA (193 nucleotides) under uncultured Inocybe. RNAcentral's name for it is "partial internal transcribed spacer 2". Lineage: Eukaryota; Fungi; Basidiomycota; Agaricomycetes; Agaricales; Cortinariaceae. The record is from RNAcentral.